RNAcentral lists this long non-coding RNA (471 nucleotides) under Canis lupus familiaris (dog). RNAcentral's name for it is "lncRNA (ENSCAFG00030022629.1)". Lineage: Eukaryota; Metazoa; Chordata; Mammalia; Carnivora; Canidae. The record is from RNAcentral.
AUGUCACUUCAAAGCCAACUCCAGGAUUCCUUCAUGCAGAUAGGACCUGAGGGGGCUGCUGAUGUGCCAGGUGUUGUGCAAGGGCCCCAUGCUUUCCCAAACCCGGCGCCCCGCCUCCCUCCUGGACUCAUCUGGCCCUGCCCUUUCACCCAGUGGUUCACGAUUCUGAGUGAGUGUCUGCCUUCUUCCUCGGGGUGGAACCCCUCGAGGGCAGGGACUGGGUCUGGUUCAUCGGGGGUCCCUGUCCCCACACCUGGCACGGCGUUACCGGUUGUGCAAUGCAUGUCAGAAUCAGGCCAAGGAGGAGAGGGGCUAUUGAAAGGAGACUCCCUUGGAGGCCCACACUGGGAGAAAGCUCAAGCAGUUGAUUGGCCGGCUCCACUGACUGGUGUCCAGAUGGGGGAGUUCAUGAAACCCCCAGAAGGUGGUGGUGGUGCAGGUCCUGGCCAGACACUACAGCAGUCAUUGUGA